GACGAACGCUGGCGGCGUGCCUAACACAUGCAAGUCAACUUGAGGGAAGGAGCAAUCUGACCUGAUGGUGGCGCAAGGGUGCGUAACGCGUAAGUAACUUGCCCAAGGUAAGGAAUAACGUCGAGAAAUCGGCGCUAAUACCUCAUAAUGCAGCGGAUCCGCAUGGAUAUGUUGUUAAAGGUUUACCGCCUUGGGAUAGGCUUGCGUCUGAUUAGCUAGUUGGUGUGGUAAUGGCACACCAAGGCUACGAUCAGUAACUGGUCUGAGAGGAUGAUCAGUCACACUGGAACUGAGACACGGUCCAGACUCCUACGGGAGGCAGCAGUGAGGAAUAUGGUCGAAUAGCACGAAA
Molecule: ribosomal RNA, 352 nt
Filed under: uncultured bacterium
Lineage: Bacteria
Description: bacterial SSU rRNA
Rfam family: Bacterial small subunit ribosomal RNA
Source: RNAcentral